UACGGGGGGGGCAAGCGUUGUUCGGAAUUACUGGGCGUAAAGGGCUCGUAGGCGGCCAACUAAGUCAGACGUGAAAUCCCUCGGCUUAACCGGGGAACUGCGUCUGAUACUGGAUGGCUAGAGGUUGGGAGAGGGAUGCGGAAUUCCAGGUGUAGCGGUGAAAUGCGUAGAUAUCUGGAAGAACACCCGUGGCGAAGGCGGUUCUCUGGGACGGUACUGACGCUGAGACGCGAAAGCGUGGGGAGCGAACAGG
This 253-nucleotide ribosomal RNA is filed under the name uncultured bacterium. Its description in RNAcentral is "partial 16S ribosomal RNA". It matches the Rfam family "Bacterial small subunit ribosomal RNA", at positions 524 to 776 of the family's 1533-position model. The record is from RNAcentral.